Molecule: ribosomal RNA, 253 nt
Filed under: uncultured bacterium
Lineage: Bacteria
Description: partial 16S ribosomal RNA
Rfam family: Bacterial small subunit ribosomal RNA
Source: RNAcentral
UACGGGAGGUGCAAGCGUUGUUCGGAAUGACUGGGCGUAAAGCGCACGUAGGCGGGCUUUUAAGUCGCAUGUGAAAUCCCUAGGCUUAACCUAGGAAUUGCAUUCGAAACUGGAAGUCUUGAAUGCCCGAGAGGUUAAUGGAAUUCUUGGUGUAGGAGUGAAAUCCGUAGAUAUCAAGAGGAACACCGGAGGCGAAGGCGGUUAACUGGUGGUGCAUUGACGCUGAGGUGCGAAAGCGUGGGUAGCAAACAGG